UUGGAGGGCAAGUCUGGUGCCAGCAGCCGCGGUAAUUCCAGCUCCAAUAGCGUAUAUUAAAGUUGUUGCAGUUAAAAAGCUCGUAGUUGAAUUUCGGGGUUCUACCGUUGGUCGGGCUUUGUCUGUACUGGUGUGUAGAAUUUCUACCUUCUGGGGAACCAUCAUGCUAUUAAUUUAGCGUGGUGAGAAACCAGGACCUUUACCUUGAAAAAAUUAGUGUGUUCAAAGCAGGCUUAUGUCUGAAUACAUUAGCGUGGAAUAAUAGGAUAGGACGGUGGUCCUGUUUUGUUGGUUUCUGAAUCACCGUAAUGAUUAAUAGGGAUAGUUGGGGGCAUUAGUAUUCAAUUGUCAGAGGUGAAAUUCUUGGAUUUAUUGAAGACUAACUUCUGCGAAAGCAUUUGCCAAGGAUGUUUUCAUUAAUCAAGAACGAAAGUUAGGGGAUCGAAGACGAUCAGAUACCGUCGUAGUCUUAACCAUAAACUAUGCCGACUAGGGAUCAGACGAUGUUAAUUUUUUAAUGACUCGUUCGGCGCCUUACGGGAAAC
RNAcentral lists this ribosomal RNA (545 nucleotides) under uncultured Glomeromycotina. Its description in RNAcentral is "SSU rRNA". It matches the Rfam family "Eukaryotic small subunit ribosomal RNA", at positions 548 to 1098 of the family's 1831-position model. Lineage: Eukaryota; Fungi; Glomeromycota. The record is from RNAcentral.